UUCGAAUAAUCAGUUUUUUUCGAAACUGGAGGAAGACAAAAGAAGAAGAAGGGAGGAACUAGUUCGAAUCGAGUCGUUGCAAUUUUUUUUUUUUCAAAACUUCCUCCUUGAAGAGAAGAGCGAAGCACCCUCCUCGGCUCGCCCCGAAUCCCCAGACCUUAUUUUGUACGUGGAUAACGAACGAUAUGAGGAGACGACUUACGCCCCGAAAAGAAGAAGUCUCUGUGCCCCAUAAUAAACCAUUUCGAACGAAUCGAAACGGGCCGGUAACGGUUUUACCUGCGCGCCAGUUUUCCACCACUGGGCCUGACCUACCCUCCUCGUCGAUCACCUCGUCGAUAUUUGGGCCACCGCUUCUUUUUUUCCACGCGAUAUCGUUCAACGACUUUCCUACCUGCCUAUCCUAUCCUUCUAUCCUCUUCUGUCUUCCCUUUCUUUUUUUUUCUUCUUCUUCUUCUUCUUUUCUUCUCCCUCUAACUUCGAACGGGGACGAGAAAAACUCGAUCCAGAUAUAACGGGUGUACGAAGAGUUAAUCUUGUAUCGAGUAUUCGCGAUAAAUAUUACGAGAAUUGUAUUGGGUCGCUAGGAACGAAAGUAAUUUCGUUUUAGCGACACGAGUGUCGCUAGUCGAACGUUUUGUCAGCCAACUUCAUUCCAGAAUAGAAAUUAUUGCGUUGCUCGGAAAGUAUUAAUUUUUCUCACGCGAGCGUCGCUGCUAGUCGAACAGCCAACUUCGUUCUAAACCGUUGUUGUAACGUAUUUCGAGAACGUUCGCGUUUCGUCGGUUUAUUUAUAAGAAGAAUUCGUUCGAUUUCGUGCGCGAUUGUGUUUUUCGCGUGUGAUUGCAAAGAUGAGCAAGAUCGAAAAGAGCAUUCUCGGUGUAUUUUACUUUUCUACUAUCGAAAAGAAAAAGAGAAAAACGGAGAGGAGCCGUGACCGUGCCGCGAGGCCGCUGUUACUCGGAUGAUUCGACGAGUUUGUUGGCAACGUUGAACUUGAAUUUUCGUCCAAGUUAAAUAGCGAUGAUCCUGCUGACGUUACGUUGAAUUUCGUUUUAAUAAUAUAAGAGAAAGUUUGUUUAAUUAAAUCUUAAUCUGUAUGAGAUGUAAAAGUGAAAGUAUAUGUGUGCGCGUGUGUGUACGUUAUUA
Apis mellifera (honey bee) is the source of this 1149-nucleotide long non-coding RNA. RefSeq lists it as uncharacterized. The record is from RefSeq and is a predicted model, not a curated record. Lineage: Eukaryota; Metazoa; Arthropoda; Insecta; Hymenoptera; Apidae. The transcript has 2 exons.